UGGGGAAUUUUGCACAAUGGGGGAAACCCUGAUGCAGCGACGCCGCGUGAUUUAGAAGGCCUUCGGGUUGUAAAAAUCUUUUGUAUAGGAAGAAAAUGACAGUACUAUACGAAUAAGGUCCGGCUAAAUACGUGCCAGCAGCCGCGGUAAUACGUAUGGACCGAGCGUUAUCCGGAAUCAUUUGGCGUAAAGGGUACGUAGGCGGUUAAAUAAGUUAGAAGUGAAAUCCCAUAGCUCAACUAUAGUAAGCUUCUAAAACUGUAUAACUUGAGAAAUGAAAGGGAAAGUGGAAUUCCUAGUGUAGCGGUGAAAUGCGCAGAUAUUAGGAGGAAUACCGGUGGCGAAGGCGACUUUCUGGUCAUAUUCUGACGCUGAGGUACGAAAGCGUGGGUAGCAAACAGG
Molecule: ribosomal RNA, 402 nt
Filed under: Bacteroidota bacterium
Lineage: Bacteria; Pseudomonadati; Bacteroidota
Description: Bacteroidetes bacterium partial 16S ribosomal RNA
Rfam family: Bacterial small subunit ribosomal RNA
Source: RNAcentral